CAUUAAGAAGCUAUACAGGACACAGCGACAGCCUUUUAAGCUGUAGAUAGGUGAUUUCCAACCACCCUUAAUGA
Molecule: transfer RNA, 74 nt
Filed under: Espadarana prosoblepon (emerald glass frog)
Lineage: Eukaryota; Metazoa; Chordata; Amphibia; Anura; Centrolenidae
Description: tRNA-Lys
Rfam family: tRNA
About the family: Transfer RNA (tRNA) molecules are approximately 80 nucleotides in length. Their secondary structure includes four short double-helical elements and three loops (D, anti-codon, and T loops).
Source: RNAcentral